UCCAUAGAAUAACAUGGGCUGUGUAUUAGAAGCCCUGGCAGCUUUGGUCAGGGGGAAGUUUGGCGCCACUGCCGUCCCUUUGCUCAGCGACACAAAGACCCGGGAAAUUGGGCCCCUCACUGAUUGGCCCCCCAGGUUGCAGGGCAAAAUUAUCCCUAGGCGGGCUGUUGCUGGGGUGGAGGAGCCAGUAGUGAGUGAGGACGGGGGAGGUCCGAGAACGCAGACCCCUUAAAUGAAGGAGCUGAGCGUGGGAGUUAGAGUUCGGCCAUCUGGAGAAGAGGGAGAGUUUGGCUGGAGCCUGGUGACCAGCCCUGCAGGGUGAAGAAGGAGCUGCUGCCCGGGAAGAAGAGAGACAGAGAACCGCUUACCUGGACCGGGAUGGAGAUCUAUUCUGGAGCCGACGGGGAAGGAUCGCGGGGAGAGAGAGAGACCUCCGGUGCCUGCCCAGGACCCCUGUUGGAGGAAGCUGCCCGCAUCACUGCCGGAUGAUAGGGGAGAGGAGUGUCACGUCAGGAGCCGCGCGGGAGGACGGGAGCCGUUACAAGCGCCAGGAGACCGGACCCAGGAGAAGGUGCCGCGGAACAUCAAGGACGGAAGAGGAGGCAGUGCGCACAGUGGCGUGCGGUGAGGUCAUUGGCUGGUGUUCCUGAUGCCAUAGAUUUUGCAAAUGUCUGGAUUCAACAAUAUGGCUAAUGCAGGAAAUGGAAAGAAGAAGGCAAAAUGAGGGAGACGGAGAGAUGAAUAAACAGGAAGCAGCCACUGAUGUGGAAGGAAUGUGUUACAGGCAGCACGUCUGAAAGGGAGAGGGUUUCCGUAAUUAGACUUUCAUAAUACUGCACUUACGUGAUAUUAGUAAACCAGACACAUAAAGUGUAGAGCACCGGCCCAAAUCCAACUACUGGUUGUGCCAAAACUCCAGCCCCCACAACACCUCUGCCUCCGUCCUCCCCGUGGUGUCUGGGAGUUCUGGGUCCAACACAGAUACUGCUUGGCAAGAGCAGAUGAGGACGUCACUAGGCAUGUGAACAGCUAAAUGCAGCUUAAUAUUGGCAAACAAUUAAAAAGCAAUUUAUACAGGGCUACAAUCUCUUCUAGCUUGAAUACGGUACUUUGAAACAUGAGAGAACACUAGGCUCAGAACAGCAAAUGGAAAAACAGUGGUGACUGAAAACACUCAACAGAAAGAUUUUCAUUUACAGUACAGAUGGAGCCUCAUUUAUCUUGGCUUCUCUGCUGCGCCUAGGCACACCAGGACUUAUUAUCAUAAACCCUUCAUCUAUUGUUUUCAGCUGCAAUACAAUACAGAGAGAACAAUACAUCAGGGGAAUAAGUCAUUACAGCAGGGGAUUAAGUCCGACUGCCCUGGCUCAAUUAAUCCUAUUAAAGGACAAAAUAAAGACGGCUCCAUCUGUAUAAGACUGUGCUCGAAGAUUUUCUUAUACACUUGUAUUCAAAAUUUGCAGAUGUAAAAAUAUAUUUUCUCUACUAUUCUCUAUCCGAUUGGUACAAGCCAUCUCUG
Molecule: long non-coding RNA, 1519 nt
Organism: Pseudophryne corroboree (corroboree frog)
Lineage: Eukaryota; Metazoa; Chordata; Amphibia; Anura; Myobatrachidae
Exons: 3
Source: RefSeq, a predicted model, not a curated record